This 70-nucleotide transfer RNA is filed under the name Megalamphodus sweglesi. RNAcentral's name for it is "Hyphessobrycon sweglesi tRNA-Asn". Lineage: Eukaryota; Metazoa; Chordata; Actinopteri; Characiformes; Acestrorhamphidae. The record is from RNAcentral.
UAGAUGGAUGCUCGCUGGAUUGGGCGUUUAGCUGUUAACUAAAUUUGAAGGAUCGAGCCUUCCCAUCUAG